Molecule: long non-coding RNA, 1607 nt
Organism: Pteropus alecto (black flying fox)
Lineage: Eukaryota; Metazoa; Chordata; Mammalia; Chiroptera; Pteropodidae
Exons: 2
Source: RefSeq, a predicted model, not a curated record
GAAAAACAAACCACACAUCCCGUAGUUGGCAAGGUGGGAUAUAACGUUAGUAACCCCCCCUUCCUCUUUCCUUCCUCCCUUUUCCCACAUUUAAUGCUUUGCGUUGUCGGGAUUUGUUUUUUCAGAUGUCUGUCACUCGAUGGUACAGUGACUGGCCCAUGAUAACAACACUGGAGCUAAGUGGGAAAGAAGGGAUCAAAUACAGCUCACAGGCUAAGACUCCAUUAGCAAAACUAAGGACGACAGCAGCUAAUUCUGUUCGGAGACGAACACGACACAGCAGACUGCGAGUUCGGGACCUGCUGCUGUCUGCCAGCGACGAACCCCCGUAUGUGAAAGCACGCGUUCACCGAUCCCAAGAGCCCGCGGAGGCAAAAGUGCCCGAGGCCCACAAAUGUCGUAAUGCAUCCCUCGUGGGCAGCUGCCGAGGGCAACCGAGAUGUUGCUUUCAGAGCCCACACAGCACGCUCCGCAGCAAGAGGCAGGAGGUCCAAAAGUGAGCGCGAAGAUCCUCACAAACUGUUCUGGGCAGAGACGUUAACACCAUCUGAUAUAGAUGCCCUGAGGUAAUGCCCACUUCGGUAAAGAAAGAGCAUUAGAGACAAGAACUCGAGAUAUUGAUAAUAGCGACGACAUACGAAAGGCCCGCCAGGCAGGCGCUGGGCUUUCAUCCAUUCCUCCUUCCCUUUACUUGACUGCUGUUUGUGGAAUGAAUGCCCUUACGUGCUGGCCUUUACGUCAGGUUUUUAACUGAGGGCAAUUGAGAAGGAUUCAGUACAAUAAUGUAUGGAGAGCACGGAGCUUGCACACAGUCGGUGCUCAGUAUCAGUCAUUCUGACGAGGACGAAACGUUUGGAGGUUUCUCUGGUUUGCGUACUUUGAGGGAAUGACAGGAUCAUAUCUGGGUGUUUCGAAGCCGUGUCCCUUAGCCGAGGCAGGAGGCCUUACGGAGGGAAGCUUGGAGGUGGGCAUGCAAGUGAAAAGGACUCAGUGAGAGUUAAAGGGGAGCUGAGAAGGGGCCAGGGGGGCUGCUGUGAGCUGGAGGUUCAGUCUGAGAACAUGGCAGCCUUGGGGGUACCAAGGAGCAGUCCCAGAAGAUGCUGCUGAGACUUGCAGCCGAUGUGCCAGAGAGAGUGCACGGCAGAGCCCGGGAACCUAGGCGGAGGGCAGGUCUGUGCAGGGGACCAUGAUGAGUUUGCUGAGCUCCGACCAGGACGUGCUGCAUGCAUUGGCGGCGCCCUUCAAACACCCAUGCAGAGAUGCCUUGCGGGCGGCUGGAGGUGUAAGUGUUCAGCUCUGGAUUCAAAGAAUCGACUUCUGGCUUCUAUUCAUAAAAUUAAAAUGUAUUAAGUUAAUGAGUGCCCCUGCUGACUUCUUGUUUCAGGGUUCAUUUUCAUGUGCGUUCUGAAACGUUUGGAAGAAUGGGUGGCUGUUAAACUCCUACUCCCCCUCUGCUUGGAUUUGUUUUUUUUAAAUAGUGUCUAAAUUGAAAGCAGGCAGAUUAAUAUAUGUAGAACUAAUCGCUUGUAUAGAAGCUGAGCUUAUUUAACUCACCUCUCCCUCAACCAAAAGGUUACUCAUUAAAUGGAUUAACAAACAACCGCUAA